RNAcentral lists this ribosomal RNA (460 nucleotides) under uncultured bacterium. Its description in RNAcentral is "partial 16S ribosomal RNA". It matches the Rfam family "Bacterial small subunit ribosomal RNA", at positions 338 to 795 of the family's 1533-position model. The record is from RNAcentral.
CCUACGGGGGGCAGCAGUGAGGAAUAUUGGUCAAUGGGCGCGAGCCUGAACCAGCCAAGUCGCGUGAGGGAAGACGGUCCUAUGGAUUGUAAACCUCUUUUAUAAAGGAAUAAAACGAGGCACGUGUGCCUUUUUGCAUGUACUUUAUGAAUAAGGAUCGGCUAACUCCGUGCCAGCAGCCGCGGUAAUACGGAGGAUCCGAGCGUUAUCCGGAUUUAUUGGGUUUAAAGGGAGCGUAGAUGGGUUGUUAAGUCAGUUGUGAAAGUUUGCGGCUCAACCGUAAAAUUGCAAUUGAUACUGGCAGUCUUGAGUACAGUUGAGGUAGGCGGAAUUCGUGGUGUAGCGGUGAAAUGCUUAGAUAUCACGAAGAACCCCGAUUGCGAAGGCAGCUUACUAAACUGUGACUGACAUUGAUGCUCGAAAGUGUGGGUAUCAAACAGGAUUAGAUACCCGGGUAGUC